This 492-nucleotide ribosomal RNA is filed under the name uncultured bacterium. RNAcentral's name for it is "partial 16S ribosomal RNA". It matches the Rfam family "Bacterial small subunit ribosomal RNA", at positions 29 to 507 of the family's 1533-position model. The record is from RNAcentral.
AGUGAACGCUGGCGGCAGGCCUAACACAUGCAAGUCGAACGGCAGCACAGUAAGAGCUUGCUCUUACGGGUGGCGAGUGGCGGACGGGUGAGGAAUACAUCGGAAUCUACUUUUUCGUGGGUGAUAACGUAGGGAAACUUACGCUAAUACCGCAUACGACCUACGGGUGAAAGCAGUGGAUCUUCGGACCUUGCGCGAUUGAAUGAGCCGAUGUCGGAUUAGCUAGUUGGCGGGGUAAAGGCCCACCAAGGCGACGAUCCGUAGCUGAUCUGAGAGGAUGAUCGGCCACACUGGAACUGAGACACGGUCCAGACUCCUACGGGAGGCAGCAGUGGGGAAUAUUGGGCAAUGGGCGAAAGCCUGAUCGAGCCAUGCCGCGUGAGUGAAGAAGGCCUUCGGGUUGUAAAGCCCUUUUGUUGGGGAAGAAAAGCGGCAGGUGAAUACCCGGCUGUUCUGACGGUACCCAAAGAAUAAGCACCGGCUAACUUCGUG